RNAcentral lists this ribosomal RNA (253 nucleotides) under uncultured bacterium. RNAcentral describes it as "partial 16S ribosomal RNA". It matches the Rfam family "Bacterial small subunit ribosomal RNA", at positions 524 to 776 of the family's 1533-position model. The record is from RNAcentral.
UACGUAGGGUGCAGGCGUUAAUCGGAAUUACUGGGCGUAAAGCGUGCGCAGGCGGUCUGCUAAGACAGGUGUGAAAUCCCCGGGCUUAACCUGGGAACUGCGCUUGUUACUGGCAGGCUGGAGUGUGGCAGAGGGGGGUGGAAUUCCACGUGCAGCAGUGAAAUGCGUAGAGAUGUGGAGGAACACCGAUGGCGAAGGCAGCCCCCUGGGCUAACACUGACGCUCAUGCACGAAAGCGUGGGGAGCAAACAGG